CCCUGGUUAGCUCAGUUGGUAGAGCGCUCCACUUGUAAUGGAGAGGUCCCGGGUUCGAUACCCGGACCAGACA
RNAcentral lists this transfer RNA (73 nucleotides) under Ixodes scapularis (black-legged tick). It matches the Rfam family "tRNA". Rfam says of the family: Transfer RNA (tRNA) molecules are approximately 80 nucleotides in length. Their secondary structure includes four short double-helical elements and three loops (D, anti-codon, and T loops). Lineage: Eukaryota; Metazoa; Arthropoda; Arachnida; Ixodida; Ixodidae. The record is from Rfam by way of RNAcentral.